Molecule: microRNA precursor, 146 nt
Filed under: Vicugna pacos (alpaca)
Lineage: Eukaryota; Metazoa; Chordata; Mammalia; Artiodactyla; Camelidae
Description: miRNA (ENSVPAG00000015900.1)
Source: RNAcentral
CAGAAUGCCCAGCGAAACUGGAAUAUUAUGUGCACAAUGAAAAAUGUUGCAGUGUAAGUAUGCCUCAUGCAGUAUUUGGGACAGACUUAUGCUAAAAAGUUAUCCAUUGGGUUUCCUGAAGUUCAAAUAUAACUGGAUGUCCUGUA